RNAcentral lists this ribosomal RNA (497 nucleotides) under uncultured bacterium. Its description in RNAcentral is "partial 16S ribosomal RNA". It matches the Rfam family "Bacterial small subunit ribosomal RNA", at positions 28 to 507 of the family's 1533-position model. The record is from RNAcentral.
GAUGAACGCUGGCGGCGUGCCUAAUACAUGCAAGUCGAGCGAACAGACGAGGAGCUUGCUCCUCUGACGUUAGCGGCGGACGGGGGAGUAACACGUGGAUAACCUACCUAUAAGACUGGGAUAACUUCGGGAAACCGGAGCUAAUACCGGGUAAUAUAUUGAACCGCAUGGUUCAAUAGUGAAAGACGGGUUUGCUGUCACUUAUAGAUGGAUCCGCGCCGCAUUAGCUAGUUGGUAAGGUAACGGCUUACCAAGGCAACGAUGCGUAGCCGACCUGAGAGGGUGAUCGGCCACACUGGAACUGAGACACGGUCCAGACUCCUACGGGAGGCAGCAGUAGGGAAUCUUCCGCAAUGGGCGAAAGCUUGACGGAGCAACGCCGCGUGAGUGAUGAAGGUCUUCGGAUCGUAAAACUCUGUUAUUAGGGAAGAACAAAUGUGUAAGUAACUAUGCACGUCUUGACGGUACCUAAUCAGAAAGCCACGGCUAACUACGUG